AACGAACGCUGGCGGCAGGCCUAACACAUGCAAGUCGAACGCCGUAGCAAUACGGAGUGGCAGACGGGUGAGUAACACGUGGGAACGUACCCUUCGGUUCGGGAUAACUCAGGGAAACUUGAGCUAAUACCGGAUACGUCCGAGAGGAGAAAGAUUUAUCGCCGAGGGAUCGGCCCGCGUCUGAUUAGCUUGUUGGUGAGGUAACGGCUCACCAAGGCGACGAUCAGUAGCUGGUCGAGAGGAUGAUCAGCCACAUUGGGACUGAGACACGGCCCAAACUCCUACGGGAGGCAGCAGUGGGGAAUAUUGGACAAUGGGCGCAAGCCUGAUCCAGCCAUGCCGCGUGAGUGAUGAAGGCCCUAGGGUUGUAAAGCUCUUUUACCCGGGAAGAUAAUGACUGUACCGGGAGAAUAAG
This 415-nucleotide ribosomal RNA is filed under the name uncultured bacterium. RNAcentral describes it as "bacterial SSU rRNA". It matches the Rfam family "Bacterial small subunit ribosomal RNA", at positions 29 to 490 of the family's 1533-position model. The record is from RNAcentral.